UCAAGCUACAAAGGGCGCAUGGUGAAUGCCUUGGCAUCAGGAGCCGAUGAAGGACGUGAUAAGCUGCGAUAAGCUUCGGGUAGGCGCACAUAGCCUGAGAUCCGAAGAUUUCCGAAUGAGGAAACUCACAUGGGAAACCCCAUGUAUCAUUAAGUGAAUACAUAGCUUAAUGAAGGUAACCCAGGGAACUGAAACAUCUAAGUACCUGGAGGAAGAGAAAGAAAAAUCGAUUUUCUUAGUAGCGGCGAGCGAAAGGGAAAGAGCCCAAACCGGAAACUUGUUUCCGGGGUUGUGGACAUAGCAUAAAAGUGGAGGCUAUUGUAACUGAAGAGAACUGGAAAGUUCCACCGUAGAAGGUAAUAGUCCUGUAAGUGAAACGAGAAGACCACGAGUUAUGAUCCAGAGUACCACGAGACACGUGAAACCUUGUGGGAAGCAGGGAGGACCACCUCCCAAGGCUAAAUACUACCUGAUGACCGAUAGUGAAGCAGUACCGUGAGGGAAAGGUGAAAAGAACCCCGGGAGGGGAGUGAAAUAGAACCUGAAACCGUGUGCCUACAACCGCUCAGAGCCCCUUAUGAGGGUGAUGAGGUGCUUUUUGUAGAACGAGCCAACGAGUUACGGUAUGUAGCAAGGUUAAGUACUUAAGGUACGGAGCCGAAGGGAAACCGAGUCUGAAUAGGGCGACUAGUUGCAUGCCGUAGACCCGAAACCGGGUGACCUAUCCAUGGCCAGGUUGAAGCGAGGGUAAAACCUCGUGGAGGACCGAACCACGUUGCUGUUGAAAAAGCAUGGGAUGAGCUGUGGAUAGCGGAGAAAUUCCAAUCGAACUCGGAGAUAGCUGGUUCUCUCCGAAAUAGCUUUAGGGCUAGCGUCGAGUAUGAGUAGUGGAGGUAGAGCACUGAAUGGGCUAGGGGGCAUAGCGCUUACCGAACCUUAUCAAACUCCGAAUGCCACAUACUUUGAGCUCGGCAGUCAGACUACGAAUGAUAAGAUCCGUGGUCAAAAGGGAAACAGCCCAGAUCGUCAGCUAAGGUCCCAAAGUGUAAGUUAAGUGGGAAAGGAUGUGAGAUUUCUAAGACAACUAGGAUGUUGGCUUAGAAGCAGCCAUUCAUUAAAAGAGUGCGUAAUAGCUCACUAGUCGAGAGAUCUUGCGCCGAAAAUGUAACGGGGCUAAACUUACCACCGAAGCUACGGGCUUGAACUUAGUUCAAGCGGUAGGAGAGCGUCGUAACCGGGCUGAAGUCGUACCGUAAGGAGCGGUGGACUGGUUACGAGUGAGAAUGUUGGCAUCAGUAGCGAGAUGUGGGUGAGAAUCCCACAGGCCGAAAACCUAAGGUUUCCUCAGGAAGGUUCGUCCGCUGAGGGUUAGUCGGGACCUAAGCCGAGGCCGAAAGGCGUAGGUGAUGGACAACUGGUUGAUAUUCCAGUACCACUACCAUCGUUAUUAUCGAUGGCGUGACGCAGGAGGAUAGUGUGUGCUAGCUAUUGGAUGCUAGUCUAAACGUUUAGGCAGUGAGAGUAGGCAAAUCCGCUCUCAUAAUGCUGAGGCGUGAUGGGGAAGGUUCUACGGAACCGAAGUACAUGAUUCCACGCUGCCAAGAAAAGCGUCUAGAGAGAGAAGUAGUGCCCGUACCGCAAACCGACACAGGUAGGUGAGGAGAGAAUCCUAAGGCCGGCGGAAGAAUUACAGUUAAGGAACUCGGCAAAUUGACCCCGUAAGUUCGCGAGAAGGGGUGCCUACGAGAGUAGGCCGCAGAGAAUAGGCCCAAGCAACUGUUUAGCAAAAACACAGGUCUCUGCUAAAGCGUAAGCUGAUGUAUAGGGGCUGACGCCUGCCCGGUGCUGGAAGGUUAAGGGGAACACUUAGCGCAAGCGAAGGUGUGAACUUAAGCCCCAGUAAACGGCGGCCGUAACUAUAACGGUCCUAAGGUAGCGAAAUUCCUUGUCAGGUAAGUUCUGACCCGCACGAAUGGCGUAAUGACUUGGGCACUGUCUCAACUGUAAAUCCGGCGAAGUUGUAGUGCGAGUGAAGAUGCUCGCUACCCGCGAUUGGACGGAAAGACCCCGUAGAGCUUUACUGUAGCUUAGCAUUGAGUUUUGGUAUUGUCUGUACAGGAUAGGUGGGAGACUAGGAAACCAGGGCGUCAGCCUUGGUGGAGUCAACCUUGGGAUACCACCCUGACAGUACUGAAAUUCUAACUGGCGGCCAUGAAUCUGGUCACAGGACAUUGUUAGGUGGGCAGUUUGACUGGGGCGGUCGCCUCCUAAAAAGUAACGGAGGCGCCCAAAGGUUCCCUCAGAACGGUCGGAAAUCGUUCGAAGAGUGCAAAGGCAGAAGGGAGCCUGACUGCGACACCUACAAGUGGAGCAGGGACGAAAGUCGGGCUUAGUGAUCCGGUGGUACCUCGUGGGAGGGCCAUCGCUCAACGGAUAAAAGCUACCUCGGGGAUAACAGGCUGAUCUCCCCCAAGAGUCCACAUCGACGGGGAGGUUUGGCACCUCGAUGUCGGCUCGUCGCAUCCUGGGGCUGAAGUAGGUCCCAAGGGUUGGGCUGUUCGCCCAUUAAAGCGGCACGCGAGCUGGGUUCAGAACGUCGUGAGACAGUUCGGUCCCUAUCCGUCGCGGGCGUAGGAAAUUUGAGAGGAGCUGUCCUUAGUACGAGAGGACCGGGAUGGACUGACCUCUGGUGUACCAGUUGUUCCGCCAGGAGCACAGCUGGGUAGCUAAGUCGGGAAUGGAUAAACGCUGAAAGCAUCUAAGCGUGAAGCCAACCUCAAGAUGAGAUUUCCCAUAGCAUAAGCUAGUAAGAUCCCUUGAAGAACACAAGGUUGAUAGGUCGGGGGUGUAAGCAUGGUAACAUGUUCAGCUGACCGAUACUAAUAGAUCGAGGGCUUGACCAA
This 2903-nucleotide ribosomal RNA is filed under the name Clostridium perfringens. RNAcentral's name for it is "23S ribosomal RNA". It matches the Rfam family "Bacterial large subunit ribosomal RNA". The record is from RNAcentral. Lineage: Bacteria; Bacillati; Bacillota; Clostridia; Eubacteriales; Clostridiaceae.